This 488-nucleotide ribosomal RNA is filed under the name uncultured bacterium. RNAcentral describes it as "partial 16S ribosomal RNA". It matches the Rfam family "Bacterial small subunit ribosomal RNA", at positions 28 to 507 of the family's 1533-position model. The record is from RNAcentral.
GACGAACGCUGGCGGCGUGCUUAACACAUGCAAGUCGAACGGAAAGGCCCUGCUUGUGUGUGGUUCUCGAGUGGCGAACGGGUGAGUAACACGUGAGUAACCUGCCCUUGACUGUGUGAUAACUUCAGGAAACUGGUGCUAAUACCGGAUAGGAGCUCCUGCUGCAGGGUGGGGGUUGGAAAGUUUCGGCGGUUGGGGAUGUACUCAGGGCUUAUCAGCUUGUUGGUGGGGUAGUGGCCUACCAAGGCGUUGACGGGUAGCCGGACGGAGAGGUGGGUCAGUCACACGGGAACGGAGACGCGCUCAAGAGUCCUACGGGAGGGAGCAGUCGGGAAUAGUAGGCAAUGGUCGAGAGCCUGGUCCAACCGGGCCGCGUGUGAGAAGAAGGUCCUCGGAGUGUAAAGCACGUUAAGUGGUGAGGAAGGGCAGUAAGUUAAUACCUUGCGGGUUUGACGCUACCAACAGAAGAAGCACCGGCUAACUUCGUG